Molecule: long non-coding RNA, 560 nt
Filed under: Mytilus galloprovincialis (Mediterranean mussel)
Lineage: Eukaryota; Metazoa; Mollusca; Bivalvia; Mytilida; Mytilidae
Source: RNAcentral
UUCACUUUUACUACCAACCAAUCUUUACCAUUCAGUGAUAACAAGCACUUUAUUUUACAUUUCAAUAUUUUAUGAUGUAUUUAAAAGAGUAGUUAUUGUUGCAAACUCCAUUAGAAAUUUGAAUUGAUAUCAGUUUUGGAAAAAGGGAAACGGGGAUGUGAAAAAGGGGGGGGGGGGUUAAAUUUUUCUCAUUUCAGAUUUCAUAAAUAAAAAGAAAAUUUCUUCAAACAUUUUUUUGAGAGGAUUAAUAUUCAACAGCAUAGUCAAUUGCUCAAAGGCAAAAAAAAACUUUUAAGUUCAUUAGACCACAUUCAUUCUGUGUCAGAAACCUAUGCUGUGUCAACUAUUUAAUUUUAGAUUUAAAUAAGAAGAAAUCUUUAAUUGAUUUGUAAAAUCUUGACAUUUGUUUUGUGUAAAAAAACCCAUGUAAUGUCAAAAAUUUGAUCACAAUCCAAAUUCAGAGCUGUAUCACGCUUGAAUGUUUUGUCCAUACUUGCCCCAACUGUUCAGGGUUCGACCUUUGCGGUCGUAUAAAGCUGCGCCCUGCGGAGCACCUGGUU